UCUUUUCCUUUUUUUCCCUCCUCCUCUUUCCCCCUUCUUUUUCCCUCUUUUUCCUUCCUUCCUUUUUUUCCCUUUAUCUCAUGCGGACCGGCAAGUUGGAAGUGAAAACUAUGGGCUCAACCCAUAAAUUGCUUUCAAAACUGCUGGCCUUGAGUAGUGCAGAGGUAGGUGGAAUUCCCGGUGUAGCGGUGGAAUGCGUAGAUAUCGGGAGGAACACCAGUGGCGAAGGCGACCUACUGGGCACCAACUGACGCUGAGGCUCGAAAGCAUGGGUAGCAAACAGG
This 284-nucleotide ribosomal RNA is filed under the name Gemmiger formicilis. RNAcentral describes it as "partial 16S ribosomal RNA". The stretch from base 75 to 284 matches the Rfam family "Bacterial small subunit ribosomal RNA", at positions 567 to 776 of the family's 1533-position model. Lineage: Bacteria; Bacillati; Bacillota; Clostridia; Eubacteriales; Oscillospiraceae. The record is from RNAcentral.